CCCCUCUCAGGGUCGCACCUGGAGAGUUUCCAGUACUCUACCAGUCACGACUACAGGAGAGGGGAGUCAAGCAGAGGCCUGUCCAUUCCAUUCCUAGCUUGGGCAGUGAGUGGCUAGUGAGUGGAAGGCAAUCUGCCACAAGU
This is a small nucleolar RNA of Ornithorhynchus anatinus (platypus), 143 nucleotides long. The record is from RefSeq and is a predicted model, not a curated record. Lineage: Eukaryota; Metazoa; Chordata; Mammalia; Monotremata; Ornithorhynchidae.